This 386-nucleotide ribosomal RNA is filed under the name uncultured soil bacterium. Its description in RNAcentral is "bacterial SSU rRNA". It matches the Rfam family "Bacterial small subunit ribosomal RNA", at positions 26 to 403 of the family's 1533-position model. The record is from RNAcentral.
AGAUUGAACGCUGGCGGCAGGCCUAACACAUGCAAGUCGAGCGGCAGCACGGGUACUUGUACCUGGUGGCGAGCGGCGGACGGGUGAGUAAUGCCUAGGAAUCUGCCUGGUAGUGGGGGAUAACGCUCGGAAACGGACGCUAAUACCGCAUACGUCCUACGGGAGAAAGCAGGGGACCUUCGGGCCUUGCGCUAUCAGAUGAGCCUAGGUCGGAUUAGCUAGUUGGUGAGGUAAUGGCUCACCAAGGCGACGAUCCGUAACUGGUCUGAGAGGAUGAUCAGUCACACUGGAACUGAGACACGGUCCAGACUCCGUACGGGAGCAGCAAGGUGGGGAAUAGUUAGGACAAAGUGGGACGAAAGCCGUGACUCCAGCCAUGCCGCGUG